CCUCCAAACACUGAUGCAGCCACUGUGUUGAACAGGAUUGAUAGCAGAGAGCUCUGUUGCUCCAGACCCAGGAGGAACCAAGAGUAAUUUCCCGCCACAUGACCCCCCUCUCUCCCCAGAAUGGAGUACUCUCAGGAGGAAACCAGAUGACUCAAAAGUCGUCCAUGGACUGCCACCUACACCACAAGUACAUAUGGGGGCCUGCUUCUCUAAAGUAUUCAACGGCUGUCCGUUAAAGACUCAGUGUGCUGUUACAUGGGUUCUACCAAAGACCAGAGGUAAA
Molecule: long non-coding RNA, 283 nt
Organism: Cyprinus carpio (common carp)
Lineage: Eukaryota; Metazoa; Chordata; Actinopteri; Cypriniformes; Cyprinidae
Gene: map4k6
Exons: 3
Source: RefSeq, a predicted model, not a curated record